This 774-nucleotide non-coding RNA is filed under the name Phyllothelys shaanxiense. Lineage: Eukaryota; Metazoa; Arthropoda; Insecta; Mantodea; Hymenopodidae. The record is from RNAcentral.
UUUUAGGCGUAUUCAUUGAAAUAUUGAUUUAUAUGUAAAUUUGUGUGUUUUAGAUUUUCUUAAAGAAGGGCUUAAAAAUUAUGCAGUAGAUAAUUUUAUAAUAUUAAGUUAAUUUAGAUUUAGUAAAUAUUAAAAGAUUUGGUAAAAGUUGUGCCAGCAUCCGCGGUUAAACAACAAAAUCAAAUGAAUAUUUUUGGCUUAGAUAAUUAUCAUUAAUAGUAAUAUAAAAAUUGAAAUAUUUGAGGGUGAAAUAUUUUAAAUAUUUUGAAGUAUAUAUAGUUUAGUGUGAUUGUUAUGAAAAUGGAAAUAUAAACUAGGAUUAGAUACCCUAUUAUUUUUAUUGUAAAUUCAUAAGCUAGAGUAGUAAUAGUUAUGAUCUUUAAACUUAAAGAAUUUGGCGGUAUUAUAGUCUAUUUAGAGGAAUCUGUUAUGUAAUCGAUAACCCACGUUGAACCUUACUUAUAUAAUUUCUUGUAUACCGCUGUUUAAGAAUAUAUUUUUAGAUUAUUUUCUAAAUAUAAAAUUAAUUAAAAUUUCAAGUCAAGGUGCAGUGAUAUAUAAGUUGAAUAAUGGAUUACAAUAAAUUUUAUUUAUAUGGAUUAGUUAUUGAAAUAUAAUUUGAAGGUGGAUUUAAUUGUAAUUUUAUAAAGAUUGUUAAUGUGAUUUAAAGCUCUAUAAUAUGUACACAUCGCCCGUCACUCUCAUUUUAAAGUGAGAUAAGUCGUAACAAAGUAGAUGUAUCGGAAGUUGUAUCUAGAAAGAUAAUUAUUAAAU